This 22-nucleotide microRNA is filed under the name Rattus norvegicus (Norway rat). RNAcentral describes it as "rno-miR-449a-3p". Its record names the gene rno-miR-449a-3p. Lineage: Eukaryota; Metazoa; Chordata; Mammalia; Rodentia; Muridae. The record is from miRBase by way of RNAcentral.
CAGCUAACAUGCAACUGCUCUC